Non-coding RNA from Vermiconidia calcicola, 83 nucleotides. NCBI's taxonomy places the organism in Eukaryota, Fungi, Ascomycota, Dothideomycetes, Mycosphaerellales, Extremaceae. The record is from the annotation of a GenBank genome assembly.
GUCAUUACUUGCAGUUUACCUAACAAUUCUCACAGGCCGUGCUAAUAACGCGGAGGCCAUGGGUUCGACCCCCAUAUGGACCA